UUAAAGGCUAUGAUUGGGAGAAGUAACAGUUUUUCGCCUAUUCAGAGAGCAAACGGUUGGUGAGAGUUUGUAUAGGUUAAAUUGUGAAAUGCACCCAUGAGCUUCUCAAAGGAAAUUUAGUAUUUUGAGACGGUGGGCACCGUUAUCCGCAAAGGCUAUAUUGGUAGCUUGAGUAUAAAUCAGAGUGGAACCGCAGUAUUACUGCCUCUGUC
This 212-nucleotide non-coding RNA is filed under the name Eubacterium coprostanoligenes. RNAcentral describes it as "T-box sequence". It matches the Rfam family "T-box leader". Rfam says of the family: Uncharged tRNA acts as the effector for transcription antitermination of genes in the T-box leader family. T-boxes are found upstream of many aminoacyl-tRNA synthetase genes and some amino acid biosynthetic genes usually in Gram-positive bacteria. The record is from RNAcentral. Lineage: Bacteria; Bacillati; Bacillota; Clostridia; Eubacteriales; Eubacteriaceae.